RNAcentral lists this non-coding RNA (23 nucleotides) under Arabidopsis thaliana (thale cress). The record is from RNAcentral. Lineage: Eukaryota; Viridiplantae; Streptophyta; Magnoliopsida; Brassicales; Brassicaceae.
UCAACAGAAUCUCAGGGGUUUAC